This 372-nucleotide ribosomal RNA is filed under the name uncultured bacterium. RNAcentral's name for it is "bacterial SSU rRNA". It matches the Rfam family "Bacterial small subunit ribosomal RNA", at positions 524 to 898 of the family's 1533-position model. The record is from RNAcentral.
UACGGAGGGUGCAAGCGUUGUCCGGAUUUAUUGGGUUUAAAGGGUGCGUAGGCGGUUUGGUAAGUCGGCGAUGAAAGCCCGGGGCUCAACCCCGGAACUGUCGUCGAUACUGUCGAACUUGAGUAUGGUGGAGGCUGGCGGAAUAGGCGGUGUAGCGGUGAAAUGCAUAGAUACCGUCCAGAACCCCGAUUGCGAAGGCAGCUGGCUGUACCAUUACUGACGCUGAGGCACGAAAGCGUGGGGAGCGAACAGGAUUAGAUACCCUGGUAGUCCACGCCGUAAACGAUGGAUACUCGUCGUGGGCGAUAGACAGUCCGCGACUAAGCGAAAGCGGUAAGUAUCCCACCUGGGGAGUACGCCGGCAACGGUGAA